AUGGCUCAGGAUGAACGCUAGCUACAGGCUUAACACAUGCAAGUCGAGGGGCAGCAUUGGAGUAGCAAUACUUCAGAUGGCGACCGGCGCACGGGUGAGUAACACGUAUCCAACCUGCCGCUUACUCGGGGAUAGCCUUUCGAAAGAAAGAUUAAUACCCGAUGGUAUAAAGAGUUCGCAUGUUCCCUUUAUUAAAGAAUUUCGGUAAGCGAUGGGGAUGCGUUCCAUUAGAUAGUUGGCGGGGUAACGGCCCACCAAGUCUACGAUGGAUAGGGGUUCUGAGAGGAAGGUCCCCCACAUUGGAACUGAGACACGGUCCAAACUCCUACGGGAGGCAGCAGUGAGGAAUAUUGGUCAAUGGACGAGAGUCUGAACCAGCCAAAAGUAGCGUGAAGGAUGACUGCCCUAUGGGUUGUAAACUUCUUUUAUAAGGGAAUAAAGUGAGGGACGUGUCCCUUUUUGUAUGUACCUUAUGAAUAAGGAUCGGCUAACUCCGUGCCAGCCGCCGC
RNAcentral lists this ribosomal RNA (509 nucleotides) under uncultured bacterium. RNAcentral describes it as "bacterial SSU rRNA". It matches the Rfam family "Bacterial small subunit ribosomal RNA", at positions 19 to 518 of the family's 1533-position model. The record is from RNAcentral.